Long non-coding RNA from Ochotona princeps (American pika), 996 nucleotides. RefSeq lists it as uncharacterized. The transcript is spliced from 2 exons. NCBI's taxonomy places the organism in Eukaryota, Metazoa, Chordata, Mammalia, Lagomorpha, Ochotonidae. The record is from RefSeq and is a predicted model, not a curated record.
CAGGCCUAGGUCAAGGGGAGGUGGAGGAGGAAGUGGAGCCUCUGCAAACAGAACUAGAUCCCCCUGAACUGUCACAACCCUUCCGGGUCAAGCUAGGGAGUCAGGUGGGAAGGGCCUGGACAGGAGAGGAUCUGGGCCAGCUGUGCCGGCCCACCGUCCUCAGAGCUCCUCCCUGAGGCCCAGCGCUAGGCAGUGAAGCUGCUCACAGCUUUCUAACGUAGGCUCCAAGCCAGGACACCAGCAAGGGCCCUGAGCACCUGCCAGAGCCCUCCAGGUAUGCCCCCUCCUGCAGCUGUGGUGCCAGGGCCUUGCCGAGCCAAGGACCUGUGAUGUCAGUGGGAGUCAGAGGAGCCUGGAAACCACUAGGCUAGAACUUGCUGCCUAGAACACGGGCCUGCUUGGAGGGGAAAGGCCGUGGAUGCUGUUGCCUGCUCCUCCGUCCCCUGUGACCGUGUUCAGCCCGCGAGGUGGUCUGCACAGGCCCUGUGAUGGCUUCACGCCGGCUCCACGCACAGCCUCUUCCCAAUCCCAAUGACUGUGCUUCAGUUCCAGGAAACAGACUGGAACUUGGACUGAGACCUCAGAGGAGUCAUUCUGAUGGGAGACUCGGCUGGAAGGAGGCUCCCUUGGGGAUCUGCCCCCGGGACAGCUCGGGGGACUUUGGUCCAAGGCACAGAGCAGGUAAGGACCAAGGAAUGGAAAUGAGCAUUUCCUAAGCCUUCACUCCCAGGAAUACCCCCAGUGGCCAAUAGGCUCGAAUGUGCACGGCGAGGAAGCAGUCAGCCACACGCCCCCCAUGCUGUGAUCCCUGACUUCCCUGAGGAGGACACGGUGGCCCUGGAGCCCUGUGACCCACUGGCCCUGCACUCUUUGCUCACUGAGCCCAGGCCACGGAGUCAGUGUGGGAGGAAGGGCGUCCGUCUCUAUCCCUCUGGCCUUGCAAUUCUUCCAUAAACCUUUACAUCUUCAAUAAAACUUUGGUCUCUGAACUGCUGA